RNAcentral lists this ribosomal RNA (1129 nucleotides) under human gut metagenome. RNAcentral's name for it is "bacterial LSU rRNA". It matches the Rfam family "Bacterial large subunit ribosomal RNA", at positions 1800 to 2925 of the family's 2925-position model. The record is from RNAcentral.
CUGUUUAGCAAAAACACAGGUCUCUGCUAAAGCGCAAGCUGAUGUAUAGGGGCUGACGCCUGCCCGGUGCUGGAAGGUUAAGGGGAACACUUAGCGCAAGCGAAGGUGUGAACUUAAGCCCCAGUAAACGGCGGCCGUAACUAUAACGGUCCUAAGGUAGCGAAAUUCCUUGUCAGGUAAGUUCUGACCCGCACGAAUGGCGUAAUGACUUGGGCACUGUCUCAACUGCAAAUCCGGCGAAGUUGUAGUGCGAGUGAAGAUGCUCGCUACCCGCGAUUGGACGGAAAGACCCCGUAGAGCUUUACUGUAGCUUAGCAUUGAAUUCCGGUAUUGUCUGUACAGGAUAGGUGGGAGACUGGGAAACUAGGGCGUCAGCCUUAGUGGAGUCAUCCUUGGGAUACCACCCUGACAGUACUGGGGUUCUAACAGGAUGCCAUGAAUCUGGUGACUGGACAUUGUUAGGUGGGCAGUUUGACUGGGGCGGUCGCCUCCUAAAAAGUAACGGAGGCGCCCAAAGGUUCCCUCAGAACGGUCGGAAAUCGUUCGUAGAGUGCAAAGGCAGAAGGGAGCCUGACUGCGAGACCUACAAGUCGAGCAGGGACGAAAGUCGGGCUUAGUGAUCCGGUGGUACCUCGUGGGAGGGCCAUCGCUCAACGGAUAAAAGCUACCUCGGGGAUAACAGGCUGAUCUCCCCCAAGAGUCCACAUCGACGGGGAGGUUUGGCACCUCGAUGUCGGCUCAUCGCAUCCUGGGGCUGAAGUAGGUCCCAAGGGUUGGGCUGUUCGCCCAUUAAAGCGGUACGCGAGCUGGGUUCAGAACGUCGUGAGACAGUUCGGUCCCUAUCCGGCGUGGGCGUAGGAUAUUUGAGAGGAGCUGUCCUUAGUACGAGAGGACCGGGAUGGACUGACCUCUGGUGCACCAGUUGUUCUGCCAAGAGCAUGGCUGGGUAGCUAAGUCGGGAAGGGAUAAACGCUGAAAGCAUCUAAGCGUGAAGCCUCCCUCAAGAUGAGAUUUCCCAUAGUCGAAAGACUAGUAAGACCCCUUGAAGAACACGAGGUUGAUAGGUCAGAGGUGUAAGUGUGGUAACAUAUUUAGCUGACUGAUACUAAUAGGUCGAGGGCUUGACCAA